UGGGGGGAUUAGUGGCGAACGGGUGAGUAACACGUGAGUAACCUGCCCUUGACUCUGGGAUAAGCCUGGGAAACUGGGUCUAAUACUGGAUACGACCUUUCACCGCAUGGUGGGGGGUGGAAAGCUUUUGUGGUUUUGGAUGGACUCGCGGCCUAUCAGCUUGUUGGUGGGGUAAUGGCCUACCAAGGCGACGACGGGUAGCCGGCCUGAGAGGGUGGACGGCCACACUGGGACUGAGACACGGCCCAGACUCCUACGGGAGGCAGCAGUGGGGAAUAUUGCACAAUGGGCGCAAGCCUGAUGCAGCGACGCCGCGUGAGGGAUGAAGGCCUUCGGGUUGUAAACCUCUUUCAGUAGGGAAGAAGCGAAAGUGACGGUACCUGCAGAAGAAGCGCCGGCUAACUACGUGCCAGCAGCCGCGGUAAUACGUAGGGCGCAAGCGUUAUCCGGAAUUAUUGGGCGUAAAGAGCUCGUAGGCGGUUUGUCGCGUCUGCCGUGAAAGUCCGGGGCUUAACUCCGGAUCUGCGGUGGGUACGGGCAGACUUGAGUGAUGUAGGGGAGACUGGAAUUCCUGGUGGUAGCGGUGAAAUGCGCAGAUAUCAGGAGGAACACCGAUGGCGAAGGCAGGUCUCUGGGCAUUAACUGACGCUGAGGAGCGAAAGCAUGGGGAGCGAACAGGAUUAGAUACCCCUGGUAGUCCUGGCCGUAAACGUUGGGCCCCUAGGGUGUGGGGGACAUUCCACGUUUUCCGCGCCGUAGCUAACCGCAUUAGGUGCCCCGCCCUGGGGGAGUACGGCCGCAAGGCUAAAACUCAAAG
RNAcentral lists this ribosomal RNA (817 nucleotides) under bacterium. RNAcentral's name for it is "bacterial SSU rRNA". It matches the Rfam family "Bacterial small subunit ribosomal RNA", at positions 84 to 906 of the family's 1533-position model. The record is from RNAcentral.